Molecule: long non-coding RNA, 1458 nt
Filed under: Corvus moneduloides (New Caledonian crow)
Lineage: Eukaryota; Metazoa; Chordata; Aves; Passeriformes; Corvidae
Description: lncRNA (ENSCMUG00000017373.1)
Source: RNAcentral
AUGGACUGGGAUGAACUGGGAGGGACUCCGCUCACUGGGACGGACUGGGGUUAUGGGGAUAGGCUGGGCUUACUGGGAUGGGCUGGAAUUACUUGGGAUGGACUGGGGUUACUGGGAUGGGCUGGGCUGUACUGGUCUGUACUGGGAGCCUCAGGCACUGCACACCAGUGGGCUGUACUGGGCUGUACUGGGCGCCUCAGGCACCGCACACCAGUGAGUUGUACUGGUCUGUACUGGGUUGUACUAGUCUGUACUGGAGCCCCAAGCACGGCCACACCAGUGGGCUGUACUGGGUUGUACUGGGCUGUACGGGGCUGUACUGGGAGCCUCAGGCACUGCACACCAGUGGGCUGUACUGGGCUGUACUGGGAGCCUCAGGCACUGCACACUAGUGGGCUGUACUGGGUUGUACUGGGCUGUACUGGGAGCCUCGGGCACUGCACACCAGUGGGCUGUACUGGGCUGUACUGGGAGCCUCGGGCACUGCACACCAGUGAGUUGUACUGGGCUGUACUGGGAGCCUCGGGCACUGCACACCAGUGGGUUGUACUGGGCUGUACUGGGAGCCUCGGGCACUGCACACCAGUGGGUUGUACUGGGCUGUACUGGGAGCCUCAGGCACUGCACACCAGUGAGUUGUACUGGGUUGUACUGGGCUGUACUGGGCGCCUCGGGCACUGCACACCAGUGGGCUGUACUGGGUUGUACUGGGUUGUACUGGGAGCCUCAGGCACUGCACACCAGUGGGCUGUACUGGGCUGUACUGGGAGCCUCAGGCACUGCACACCAGUGAGUUGUACUGGGUUGUACUGGGAGCCUCGGGCACUGCACACCAGUGGGCUGUACUGGGCUGUACUGGGCUGUACUGGGAGCCUCGGGCACUGCACACCAGUGGGUUGUACUGGGCUGUACUGGGUUGUACUGGGAGCCUCAGGCACUGCACACCAGUGGGUUGUACUGGGCUGUACUGGGAGCCCCAGGCACUGCACACCAGUGGGCUGUACUGGGUUGUACUGGGAGCCUCAGGCACUGCACACUAGUGGGCUGUACUGGGUUUUACUGGGUUGUACUGGGAGCCUCGGGCACUGCACACCAGUGGGCUGUACUGGGUUAUACUGGGUUGUACUGGGAGCCCCAGGCAUGGGCACACCAGUGGGCUGUACUGGGCUGUACUGGUCUGUACUGGGAGCCCCAGUGCCAUUCCCCACCGGUGUCCAAGCCAGGCCCAAUUCCCACGCUGGGCUCUGCAGGAUCCCGAGGGGAUUUUGGGGCAAUUCCUCCCCUUUUCCCACACUUCGCUCCGAGCCCAGUCCUGGGAAGAGGCCCCGGAAUUCCCAACCCACUCCCGAGCCUGCGGGAGCAGAAUUCCCAGAAUUCCAGGGAAUCGAACCAAGAAGGGCCGGAUUGAAGGGCGGCUGCCCGAGAGGGAGCAAUCCCGUGGGAAAAGGAUCGGGAUGA